AUACAUUGAUGAGGGCACUUUCAUAAUAACUCUUUGAACUGCUCCCAUGCCUCAUAUAAAGAUCCUUUAUCAAGUUGUUGAAAUGAAGUGAUUUCAUUUCGAAUCUU
Gossypium arboreum is the source of this 107-nucleotide small nucleolar RNA. It matches the Rfam family "Plant small nucleolar RNA R71". Rfam says of the family: R71 is a member of the C/D box family of snoRNAs containing the C (UGAUGA) and D (CUGA) box motifs. Multiple nearly identical copies of this snoRNA have been identified in Arabidopsis, and it is thought to function as a 2'-O-ribose methylation guide for 18S ribosomal RNA. Lineage: Eukaryota; Viridiplantae; Streptophyta; Magnoliopsida; Malvales; Malvaceae. The record is from Rfam.